UCAUUUAAAUAUUUUUAUUGUAACCCAUUUCUACUUAAAUAUUAGCUACACCUUGAUCUGAUAUAUUUUCUUUUUAAAAAUUAUGAAAAUUAACAUUCUUAUAAAAUAUUCUAAUAACGACGGUAUAUAAACUGAUUACAAACUUAAGUAAGGUCCAUCGUGGAUUAUCGAUUACAGAACAGGUUCCUCUGAAUAGACUAAAAUACCGCCAAAUUUUUUAAGUUUCAAGAACAUAACUACUACUACCUUAGUUUUUAAAUUUACAUUUUAAAUAAUAGGGUAUCUAAUCCUAGUUUAUUAUUAAAAUUUUCAAGCUUCAAUUAUUUUAUAUAAAAAAUUUAUAAAUUUAAAAUUUCACCUAAUAAAUUUAUUCUUAUUUUAUAAAUAAACAACUUAACUUUAACCAAAGAAAAUUUAUUUGCAUUAUUCGUAUAACCGCGGCUGCUGGCACAAAUUUAGCCAAUACUCUUUAAUAUUACUAUUUCUAAGUUUCCUUAAUUAAUAAUACUAAUUACUGCGAAUACAAUUAACUUAUUUAUUAUUUAAAUAAAUAAAAAGUCACACAAAAAUUUACAUGUAAAUUAAAUUAAUAAUAAAUUUACAAGCCAAAAUAAAACUUUAUACCAUCAAUUAUAAAAU
This 639-nucleotide ribosomal RNA is filed under the name Cochliomyia hominivorax (primary screw-worm). RNAcentral describes it as "partial 12S ribosomal RNA". The record is from RNAcentral. Lineage: Eukaryota; Metazoa; Arthropoda; Insecta; Diptera; Calliphoridae.